Herpailurus yagouaroundi (jaguarundi) is the source of this 3032-nucleotide long non-coding RNA. RefSeq lists it as uncharacterized. NCBI's taxonomy places the organism in Eukaryota, Metazoa, Chordata, Mammalia, Carnivora, Felidae. The transcript is spliced from 2 exons. The record is from RefSeq and is a predicted model, not a curated record.
GGAAUGGUGAGGGGUGGGCCACCUUUCUCUGGGUCCCACCUCUGCCUCUGCCCAGCCUGCCCCAGCUUUGUCCCACCACUUUUCCACCCAGUUAGAUACUGGAUCCCCACCUCUCCCCACCCCCACAGGGUCCUUCCCCAACUCAGGUUAGGAGACAUGGGCUCAGCUGGGGCCCUCAAGAAUCUAGGUGUGGCUCUGAAUCUAAGAUCAACAAAGGGUCUUGAUGCUGGGAGAAGGUUUCCACCCACUGACCCUCACAGGAACUAGCCAUUCAGGCUAGGGAGGGCUGUAGCUCUGGAGAGAGGUGAGGGCUCUGACUGUUGGGACCACCCUUCCACAGGAGUGUCCCUGGCUGAGUCCUAACAAGGAACUAAAAGAUGGGUGUUUGCUGAGGGAGAGAGGUGUGGACAAAGCCACAGGUGCCCUCACCUAGUACCAAAACUUUCAGAUCAGGUUUGGAGCGGAGUGACAUUUGGGGCCAGGUCUGCUGUAUCAGACAUACCCAGGGUGGAGGAGGUUGUCAAGAGACCCAGGAGGGCAAAUGAGAUACCCCAUGUGAUUCCAGAUGUCAUUAGGUGCGACUGUUCCUCAGAAGAGCAGAUCCUAAAUUUAUGACCCCUCACCCCGGUCCACAGGGCACUCUACUGCCCUGAGAAAAAGAGAAUUGGGACACUGGGGUAUGUGUAACUCACAGGCCCCAAGAGCUCUAUGGCAGACCAGCACUAGUUCCAUACUCCCUUCUGUUCAGGCAGCAGGAUAUGGGCUAGGCUGGGGCAGCUGCCAUUUCCUGCCUUCCCUCUGUUCCUGAGCCCCCUCCCCUGCCUUCUCAGCCACCUGUGCCCACUGCUCAUUGGCACCUGCUCCAGCCUUGCCUGCUGAGGGCCCAGCCUAGGUUUGGCCUGGGCUGUGAGGAGGGGAGAGAGUACAUGGCCAGCAAGCCCCUUCCUGGCCCCAUCCGGGCCGCUGACACCACGCAGAUCUUAGAUUUCCUCUUGGUGUGAUUGCUGCACCUGCUCCGAAAUCUGUCUCCCUCUCCCCUUGUGGCCCAGUGCCUUUGCCACUGCCCAGUUCACCUCUACACUCUCUAGGCAGAGGAUAAAGAUGUCUUUUUCUCUCUAACUACUCUCCCUCCCAAAUCAAGUUAGUGCUGUCUUCUUGGCUUCACCCCAUCCCCUAGGAAUUUCAGGACGUGGCUUUUAGUUUCAGCUUUGUCAUUAAUUCCCUAUAUGACUUUGGGCAAGUCCCUUGCCUUUCUGGGCUUCUGUUUCCCAUCUAUAUUGUAGUUAGGGAAAGAUAGUCUUUGACCUCUGACAAGUUGUGCUCUGACACCAAUUAGGGGAAGCUUCACGGGUCAGGAAGUUGGGCCUCUGUGGCCAAGCCCUCCUGAGAAGGGCAGGGAGACUAAAGCCCAAAGAGGGGCGGGGGCGGGGUAGGGAUGCCCAGAAGACUUCCUUUUGCACAAAUCACUUGACUACUGAUAGGAUCAGAUGACGGUUUCACAGGAACCUCUAAUCCACUGAAGUACUAGCCCUCAGCUGUGUCACCUGCUCAGGUCCUCUGUUCCCCGGGCAUCUAUUUCCUCAGGUCUUCAGAGAUACAGGUCGCCGGAUAUACAGAGCCCAGCUCCCUUAGCUAUGACUGACCCUUGCUCUGAGAGGAGUUGGGACUAUGGGAGAUCCUUGCCUCCCUGGGUCAGAGUGGGCAGGGUAGCCCUCCCCACCCUCAGAUCUACCAUCUUCAUGGUGUGAUGGUUGUACCCUUAUCUCUCACUGGGCUGUCCAGCUCUGCCAGCUCAAUCUUCAGUCUCUCUCCUCACUAAAUUAAGAUCAGAUUUUAUCUGUUCCUUCCCUCCUCCUUGAGGCCAACUAGCUGGGCUCAGCAAAGAGCUUCAGACCAUGCCCAACUCCUCCAUCCCAUCCCACCCCACCCCAUUCCCAGCCCACCACAGCCUCUAGGCCACAGCUGCAGGCGCUUAGCAGCCUUCUGAGUAUUUAUAGCCAAGUCCACCCCCUCCCCCAGCUGGCUACAAUUACAGGCCCGGCCAAACUCCCAGUCCUUGCCUUCUGGUCAUUGUGGGGAAUAGAUGAGGCAGGUACCAGAGGUACAUUGCUGUAGCCCCUGCCUUGGUAAGGGUGCAAGGAGGCAGGUAUCGGUAGUUGAAAGAGGCCUGCCCUUGCCUCAAACUGCAAAUAAAUGCCCCAUAUUGCAACCAAGAGGUGUAGUCAUCAGGACAACUUGGUCCAGCCCUGGCCCAGCUCUGAUCCUGGCCUAGAACCCGGCAGAAAACAAAUUCCAUAUCCUCUCUUAGCACCCAAAUGGGCAGGACUGGGCUCUGGGUUAUUGGGCUCUGGAUUCUAAGGCCUGGACUCUUAUAUCUGAAUCAGGACUCUGAGAUCUAGACUUUGAGGUCCUGGCUCUAGGUUUCAUGGCCUGUUUUCAGGGCCUUUGGGCUCUGGGCACCGUCUCCAGAUCAGUACAGAUCUCAGAAAGGAACCAGAACUCAAAAGGAGGACUGCCUAGCUGCUGACCUAGUUACCCUCUUUUCCUUUUUACCUUUUUCCCUGUGUGGACCCGCAGCUCCCAGCUCAGGGACCACUGGAGCUGAGGCCCUUUAAGCCCAGCCAAUGACUAAGUGACUAAGCUCCAAGCCCCCUGCCUGGAUAACCUGGUCUACACCAAAUAAGCUGAUGAUGUCCACGUGCUUCCCCAGGCUUUGGACCCAGAUAGUCACCUGCUUACUGGAUGUCUCUACGUGGGAGCCCCCCAGGCUGGUUGCAGAUGGCCUCAUACUUGUUGAUGGACAAGUCAAACACAUGAGUCUGUGGAGAGGUGGGUGUCAGCAUACUCAAGGAUAAUGGGGACCCUGUCCCCCACUUCAGAAGAACUAGCACAUGAGUUUUCUGGGGAAAUACAUCAGAAGUCUAGCACACUGGAGCUGGAGACAGUGGGAGAGGGAAUUUGUGUCUCUGAUUACAUUUUCCUGUGGUUGAGGGAAUGAGAAUAAAAAGCUUAGAAAAUUUAUGCAGAAUUAA